RNAcentral lists this ribosomal RNA (301 nucleotides) under uncultured bacterium. Its description in RNAcentral is "partial 16S ribosomal RNA". It matches the Rfam family "Bacterial small subunit ribosomal RNA", at positions 509 to 807 of the family's 1533-position model. The record is from RNAcentral.
CAGCCGCCACGGGAAUACGGAGGGUGCAAGCGUUAAUCGGAAUUACUGGGCGUAAAGCGCACGCAGGCGGUUUGUUAAGUCAGAUGUGAAAUCCCCGAGCUUAACUUGGGAACUGCAUUUGAAACUGGCAAGCUAGAGUCUUGUAGAGGGGGGUAGAAUUCCAGGUGUAGCGGUGAAAUGCGUAGAGAUCUGGAGGAAUACCGGUGGCGAAGGCGGCCCCCUGGACAAAGACUGACGCUCAGGUGCGAAAGCGUGGGGAGCAAACAGGAUUAGAUACCCGAGUAGUCCCUGUCUCUUAUAC